RNAcentral lists this ribosomal RNA (659 nucleotides) under Hylemonella sp. Its description in RNAcentral is "bacterial SSU rRNA". It matches the Rfam family "Bacterial small subunit ribosomal RNA", at positions 54 to 715 of the family's 1533-position model. The record is from RNAcentral. Lineage: Bacteria; Pseudomonadati; Pseudomonadota; Betaproteobacteria; Burkholderiales; Comamonadaceae.
CAUGCAAGUCGAACGGUAACAGGUUAAGCUGACGAGUGGCGAACGGGUGAGUAAUACAUCGGAACGUGCCCAGACGUGGGGGAUAGCUCGGCGAAAGCCGGAUUAAUACCGCAUAAGCUCUGAGGAGGAAAGCGGGGGACCGUAAGGCCUCGCGCGUUUGGAGCGGCCGAUGGCAGAUUAGGUAGUUGGUGGGGUAAAGGCUUACCAAGCCUACGAUCUGUAGCUGGUCUGAGAGGACGACCAGCCACACUGGGACUGAGACACGGCCCAGACUCCUACGGGAGGCAGCAGUGGGGAAUUUUGGACAAUGGGCGAAAGCCUGAUCCAGCAAUGCCGCGUGCAGGAUGAAGGCCUUCGGGUUGUAAACUGCUUUUGUACGGAACGAAAAGGCGCCUGCUAAUACUGGGCGUUGAUGACGGUACCGUAAGAAUAAGCACCGGCUAACUACGUGCCAGCAGCCGCGGUAAUACGUAGGGUGCGAGCGUUAAUCGGAAUUACUGGGCGUAAAGCGUGCGCAGGCGGUGUUGUAAGACAGUUGUGAAAUCCCCGGGCUCAACCUGGGAACUGCAUCUGUGACUGCAAUGCUGGAGUGCGGCAGAGGGGGAUGGAAUUCCGCGUGUAGCAGUGAAAUGCGUAGAUAUGCGGAGGAACACCGAUGG